GCCCUUGGAGCACCAUAUAUAGAUCUCAUUGUAGAAUCUAAAGAGGAUAAAGAUCAUGAACUUUCUACAAAAUCCAAAAAAAGAUCAAUGUUGCAAAAAAGAAGGCACCUACUACAUUAUAAAGAGGAUACUUCAUGUGAAUGAAUGUAUAUAUAAAAAAUAGAAAAAAUACCCACAUAACCAUAUUUAAAUUACAACAAAAUGGAUUAGAAACAAGCUCCACUGGCCAAUAAAACAAAAAUACA
Molecule: long non-coding RNA, 245 nt
Filed under: Lathyrus oleraceus (garden pea)
Lineage: Eukaryota; Viridiplantae; Streptophyta; Magnoliopsida; Fabales; Fabaceae
Description: Pisum sativum (pea) long non-coding RNA (PSAT_LNC003695)
Source: RNAcentral